This is a long non-coding RNA of Corvus hawaiiensis (hawaiian crow), 768 nucleotides long. RefSeq lists it as uncharacterized. Lineage: Eukaryota; Metazoa; Chordata; Aves; Passeriformes; Corvidae. The record is from RefSeq and is a predicted model, not a curated record. The transcript has 3 exons.
UGUAACGGGGGGAGAUGGGGCCGCUCGCGGUAACGCGGUCGGGCUGCUCGGUGUCACAGAAAGUUUGAGCCCCCCGGGCCGGUGCGUGGCCCUCUCGUGGAUACUGCUCCCCCCGUUCCCGGAUGGAAGCUUUGUGCUCUCCCUCGGAACCCUGGCUUUCCCGACCCCGGCACGGAAUGACAAAGAAAGCUUCCCCAGGCUCCCCAGGCCUUCCGAGCCGGAGCGAGGGAAUGACUUCAGAGCUGUCACCACUCUCCUUAGUAAGGAUCGUCAGUACCUCAAACCCUGACAUGAGGUAAAGUGAUAAACAUCAUAAACUACAAUUCACAUCCAACGUUUUAAUGGCAGAAAGCUGAAUCCUCUCAUGAGAGCACAGCCACUACUGAACAACCCCAGUAACCCCCCUCUUCCGAGCUUUAUCCAUGUGCCACAGUUAACCCUGCCUUUCAGAAAGAUGGCACCAACACGGAUUAGAAAUUCAAACAACCUUGAGUCAUUGUAUCCUACAAGGCAACUUUUCAAAAGGCUCUCAAGAAUUUCUGAUUAUUCAGCCUUCAUUUUGUUGCUUUGCCACUCAAAACCACCUCUGAGAAAGCCCCACGUCCAUCAGAAGAUACUUAUAUGGCCUAAGUUAUUUCAGCACCUAAUCAUCACCUGAUAGUCCCUGAGCCAGGGAAUACCAUUGUUUCUUCACAUUACACCAGCAAAGAAAAAGAUGCCUGAAGACCUUUGAAAAAAACCACAGAAUCUCAGACUGGUUUGGGUUGG